UCCGGUUUGUCACCGGCAGUCUGGCGUGAGUCCCCAACUUAAUGCUGGCAACACGCCACGGGGGUUGCGCUCGUUGCGGGACUUAACCCAACAUCUCACGACACGAGCUGACGACGGCCAUGCAGCACCUGUGCGGGCUCCCGAAGGAGGACCGUAUUUCUACGGCUUCACCCCGCAUGUCAAGUCCUGGUAAGGUUCUUCGCGUCGCGUCGAAUUAGGCCACAUGCUCCGCCGCUUGUGCGGGCCCCCGUCAAUUCCUUUGAGUUUUAGCCUUGCGGCCGUACUCCCCAGGCGGGGUGCUUAAUGCGUUGGCUGCGGCACCGCGGGGGUCGAUACCCGCGACACCUAGCACCCAUCGUUUACGGCGUGGACUAC
This 375-nucleotide unclassified non-coding RNA is filed under the name uncultured bacterium. Its description in RNAcentral is "contains 16S-23S intergenic spacer region". The record is from RNAcentral.